Molecule: RNase P RNA, 168 nt
Filed under: Clostridia bacterium
Lineage: Bacteria; Bacillati; Bacillota; Clostridia
Description: partial RNase P RNA component class A
Rfam family: Bacterial RNase P class A
About the family: Ribonuclease P (RNase P) is a ubiquitous endoribonuclease, found in archaea, bacteria and eukarya as well as chloroplasts and mitochondria.
Source: RNAcentral
UGAGACGGUUAUACGGUCGCGGGGCGUUUUUUGCGCCAUGAGGAAAGUCCGAGCAUCACAGGGCAGGACGCCUGCUAACGGCAGGUGAAGGCGACUUUAAGGAAAGUGCAACAGAAAUAAACCGCCGCUUUUUGCGGUAAGGAUGGAAAGGCGAGGUAAGAGCUCACC